This 255-nucleotide ribosomal RNA is filed under the name uncultured bacterium. RNAcentral's name for it is "partial small subunit ribosomal RNA". It matches the Rfam family "Bacterial small subunit ribosomal RNA", at positions 26 to 287 of the family's 1533-position model. The record is from RNAcentral.
AGAGCGAACGCUGGCGGCAUGCUUAACACAUGCAAGUCGCACGGUUCGGGGGCAACCCCGGGCAGUGGCGGACGGGUGAGGAACGCGUAGGAAUCUGUCCCGGAAUGGGGGAUAACCGUGGGAAACUACGGCUAAUACCGCAUGCGGCCCGAGGGCCAAAGGCGCUGAUCGCAAGGUUGGGGUCGUUUUGGGAGGAGCCUGCGUCCGAUUAGCUUGUUGGUGGGGUAACGGCCUACCAAGGCUGCGAUCGGUAGC